GUCGUUCGAGACCAGGACGUUGAUAGGUCGGGUGUGGAAGCGCAGUAAUGCGUUAAGCUAACCGAUACUAAUUGCUCGUGAGGCUUGAUCCUAUAACCUU
RNAcentral lists this ribosomal RNA (100 nucleotides) under Methylobacillus sp. RNAcentral describes it as "partial 23S ribosomal RNA". It matches the Rfam family "Bacterial large subunit ribosomal RNA", at positions 2834 to 2925 of the family's 2925-position model. The record is from RNAcentral. Lineage: Bacteria; Pseudomonadati; Pseudomonadota; Betaproteobacteria; Nitrosomonadales; Methylophilaceae.